CAAACAUUGAAUCCUCUAAUAAUAUUGAAAGAACAUUGAUCUUUUUUUCCUUUUUUCUUUUUUUUUGAGACGAAAUCUCGCUCCGUUGCCCAGGCUGGAGUGCAGUGACACAAACUCGGCUUACUGCAGCCUCUGCCUCUCUGGUUCAAGCUAUUCUUCUGCCUCUUAUACAAAAAAAAAAAAAAAAAAAAAAAAAAAGGGAACAAAAAACAUACCAUCUGUUGAGUGCAUAUGAAGUAACAAACAGCAUUUCUUUUUACAGCAUCUCUGCAAAACAUUACUAUGAGGUGACAUUGUCAUCUACAGAUGCAACUCAAUCAAAAACAGCAAGUCUGAGGAAACAGUAACAACAACCUUGUAACCCUGUAUUCACUGCAUUCUAUGCAUUUACCUCCGGCCAACCAUCUCACAAAGCUAAUGUUACGUUUUAAGCACCACCUUGGAGAAGUCCAUGCGGUAAGGAACUGAGGCCUCCAGCCAACAGCCACAUGAGUGAUCUGGGAAACAGUUCCUCUACCUCAGUCAAGCCUUCAGAUGACUGCAGUCCCAAUAACAUUUUUACUGCAACUUCAUGACCCUGAGCUGCAGAUUAGCC
This 595-nucleotide long non-coding RNA is filed under the name Pan troglodytes (chimpanzee). RNAcentral describes it as "long non-coding RNA NONPTRT013200". Lineage: Eukaryota; Metazoa; Chordata; Mammalia; Primates; Hominidae. The record is from RNAcentral.